GUGGUUGUGGCUCAGUGGUAGAGUGCUUGCCUGGCAUGUGGGAGGCCCUGGGUUCAAUCCUCAGGAUCACA
Molecule: transfer RNA, 71 nt
Filed under: Ictidomys tridecemlineatus (thirteen-lined ground squirrel)
Lineage: Eukaryota; Metazoa; Chordata; Mammalia; Rodentia; Sciuridae
Description: Spermophilus tridecemlineatus (thirteen-lined ground squirrel) tRNA
Rfam family: tRNA
About the family: Transfer RNA (tRNA) molecules are approximately 80 nucleotides in length. Their secondary structure includes four short double-helical elements and three loops (D, anti-codon, and T loops).
Source: Rfam by way of RNAcentral